GGUGAAGAUGGACAGUGUGUGAAUUGUAAGAGCUCUGUUUCUAAACUGAUUGAACUGUAUUGCACAGAAUUUCAAAAGCUCUACUGUUUGUUACUCUUCACUACUAAUAUAGCCUUUGACUCUAAGCAGGCUGUCCUUUGUGAGUAACAAUCACAGAUACAGACAUCUUCAGAUGGUUCAAGUCGUGUGCUUCAAUCAAACCCUAGUUGGAAAAGAACUUUCAGAGCAAGGCUGCUUCCACAGUACUGGCAAAAUCUGCUAUAUAUCACAUAACAUAGCAUGGUGCACUCACUCAAACUUUAUGUUUCCCUGUUUUAUAAAUUCUUCAGGGCACUGCAUGGCUCACAAAAAUCUAAUACUGGCAUUCUCUAUGUUGGCGAUUACUGAAUGGAAAUACGCAUAUUUAGCUUGAAAGAAAGAAGGGUAAUAUUUUCCUUGCAAUUUAUUCACCAUUUCCUUUAUAUAACCUGAAAUCAUGAGCUUUGUGACACACCGGAAAAGAAAUACUUUAUUAUAGAGAAUAUAACUAGAUAGUAAUGAGUUUUAAAGCAUAGUAUUGAUUAUGUAUAAUGGUUCUCACAGACACAAAAUGAAAACAUCUGAAAAAUAAGAGUAAAUUUCUUA
Long non-coding RNA from Mandrillus leucophaeus (drill), 624 nucleotides. RefSeq lists it as uncharacterized. The record is from RefSeq and is a predicted model, not a curated record. The transcript is spliced from 2 exons. NCBI's taxonomy places the organism in Eukaryota, Metazoa, Chordata, Mammalia, Primates, Cercopithecidae.